This 463-nucleotide ribosomal RNA is filed under the name uncultured bacterium. RNAcentral describes it as "partial 16S ribosomal RNA". It matches the Rfam family "Bacterial small subunit ribosomal RNA", at positions 28 to 507 of the family's 1533-position model. The record is from RNAcentral.
GAUGAACGCUGCCAGAAUGCUUAACACAUGCAAGUCGAUGGGGAAGUGGUGCUUGCACCAUGGUAACCAUGGCGGACGGGUGAGUAACGCGUAAGGAACUUACCUGCGGGACCGGGAUAACAGCAGGAAACUGCUGACAAGACCGGAUAAGGUCAUUAAGCUGCAUAGCUUAGUGAUGAAAGGAGACGCCUGCGGAGAGCCUUGCGUCCUAUUAGCUAGUUGGAGGGGUAACGGCCCACCAAGGCGAAGAUAGGUAGCCGGCCUGAGAGGGUGGACGGCCACAAGGGGACUGAGAUACGGCCCUUACUCCUACGGGAGGCAGCAGGGGGGAAUAUUGGACAAUGGGGGCAACCCUGAUCCAGCAAUUCUGUGUGCACGAAGACGGUUUUCGGAUUGUAAAGUGCUUUCAGCAGGGAAGAAGGAAGUGACGGUACCUGCAGAAGAAGCGACGGCUAAAUACGUG